Molecule: small nuclear RNA, 22 nt
Filed under: Arabidopsis thaliana (thale cress)
Lineage: Eukaryota; Viridiplantae; Streptophyta; Magnoliopsida; Brassicales; Brassicaceae
Description: snRNA_04108
Source: RNAcentral
GAGAACACACGGUAUUCUUUAG